CGAAGGGUGCUAGCGUUGUUCGGAAUUACUGGGUUUAAAGGGUGCGUAGGCGGGCUAUUAAGUCAGUGGUGAAAGCCCCAAGCUUAACUUGGGAACUGCCAUUGAUACUGAUGGUCUUGAGUACAUUUGAGGUGGGCGGAAUGUGUCAUGUAGCGGUGAAAUGCUUAGAUAUGACACAGAACACCGAUUGCGAAGGCAGCUCACUAAACUGUAACUGACGCUGAGGCACGAAAGCGUGGGGAGCAAACAGGAUUAGAUACCCUGGUAGUCCACGCCCUAAACGAUGAUCACUCGAUGUGUGCGAUAUACUGUACGCGUCUGAGCGAAAGCAUUAAGUGAUCCACCUGGGGGAGUACGACCGCAAGGUUG
This 369-nucleotide ribosomal RNA is filed under the name uncultured organism. Its description in RNAcentral is "bacterial SSU rRNA". It matches the Rfam family "Bacterial small subunit ribosomal RNA", at positions 526 to 896 of the family's 1533-position model. The record is from RNAcentral.